Molecule: non-coding RNA, 3410 nt
Organism: Physcomitrium patens
Lineage: Eukaryota; Viridiplantae; Streptophyta; Bryopsida; Funariales; Funariaceae
Source: RefSeq, a predicted model, not a curated record
UGCCCUCCUAGAGAACUGCCCCCCCCCCCCAAAUUUCUGUAGCAUACUGCCUUUCCCCUCGCCUUUGCCUCUAACUCUGCACACGCAGGAACCAGCUCCUCGCAGGUUUCGCAACCCCAGACUGAGGUCGUGGUGCUGGUGUUGCAUGGCUUACGCCUCCCAAUUUUACGGGAUGGAGUGGUUCCCUGGCGUGUGCUCACGUGAGGUGACAACCGCCGAGGUUGCUUACGGCGACGGGGGAGUAGGAUGUGUUGUGUUAUUCUUCCCUUUCUUUUUCUAUGUUCUCUCUUCUCAUUUCGACAGUGGUGGCGGAGGUAGGCUCUAGUGUGUGCGGAUUCACUCCCCAGAAGUGUCUGCCGAAAAGUGCCUUCGGCGAUGUAGAGUGAGAACGUAGUGUCAACUGUUUUGAGAUUUUCGUAGGUUAUUGUGUCUGUGCCGCUGUGUAAUGCGCAUGAGGUGAAGUAUAUCCACUAGUUGCGCGUGAGUUGUUUCGGAGUUGAGCCUCAUCGAUUCGUUAUGGAAAGUGGCGUCAAAUUGGGACCGAUGAUCCAGCUACACUGAAGACACCUGAUAGAACUGCGAAAUUUCUGGAUCAUAAAUUUGCUCAAUGCUCUCUGGAGCUUCUGUGUUACCACGUUGGAGAGAGUGUUGAUUUGGACUCCCUGAUAGGGCUUAGGCAUCUUUCAGCCCUUGCUUCGGGUUUUCGUCCUUAUUGGCCUCCCUCAUUGGGCCUCAGAAGCUUCACAGAACAUUGACUUGAUUUGUGACCCUGUGAUGAGGAAGAGAGUGUACCGGUUUACGGACAUCAGUCUCAACGCUAAUAGCCCGAUGUUAUGCUAGUCACUCUGAGUAUUUCCACAGCUAAGAAGACCGGAUUACGCGGUAUCCUGUUGUGGCUGAGUUGCCAAUUUUUGGUAUCUUCUUGGUUUGGUGAUGAGACCAGUCUCAGUUUCCAAGUAUAAUGAGUUCUUGAGUUUAUGUGCAUUCGAACAGGUCUUUCAUCUCUUCUGGGAGUUCCAGGGUGCCGACUUCCUCACCGGUUUUCUUUAGAUCUUUCUACUACGAACCACGUUACAACUCUAAUUCUCUCCUUGUGAUCAUCUUUGCGCUCGUAGUCAUUCGACGUAAAUGCCACGGGAGGUGUUCAAUCUGACGAUGAAAUUAGAAUCAUGUUAAACGUGAUCUUCUGUGUGGCAUUGCUGUCCCGGUUUCUAUACACACUAGCUUGACGUCUACUUCCUUUGAUUAUAUUUGAUGGCUGAAUCGCAGUGUACUGCAUCACUCCUACGCUCUGCCAUUGCAAGUGCGGGUACAAGUAUAUGAUCCUGCGGAUUUAGGAUUUUAUUGGACAUCGAAGGUGCGCGCUCCUACUGCAUCCCCUGUUUCUGUCACUUGAAGGUCCAAAUCUAAACUUGAAUUAAUUAUUGAUUCUCUCUUUUACACAAGUUUGACGAUGUGGCCAUCGCAAAUUUGCGGACGUCACGUGCUGUCAUGUAUCUAACAGAUGGUUGCAUCGUUUGCACGUACAUCCUGCGAACUCCAUGUCACAUCUUAACUCGUCAGCAAUUGUAGACUUAAGCUCGACUUCGGAUCGGCGACUGUCUGUUCUAGAGUAUGCCAGAUUGCUUGUGGGCUAAACAGCCACGAGAGUUCCAUUCUCGCAUGCCUGAAGUUUGUCACUCUAGAAUGGGACAUAUUUGUAUGGUGCUUUGGUUUGUGCGCAGCACUUUCUGCGUCAAUGUUUAGAAGUUGGCGAAGGAAGUAUGUGCGUCACUGGAUGUUUUGGAACCCUAAAUCACUUCAAUACCUUCUAUACUCUGGUGUGUGAUCUACUCAAUAGACAUCGUUAGCUCAUGCUUACAAGUGUUCUGCAAUUUGUGUUAUUGUUGAGCCCAUUCUUCGGGGUCCAGACGUAUCGCAGGUAGCGGGAUAUCAGACGCACAGUUCAGCUCUCAGACGUUAAGGACUGUAAUGUGCAGCGCCUUUCGAAUGUGCAUUCCACCACGAAGCCCAUCCUCAUAUCGUAAUAACUCUUAAUCUUUAAGAGAAUGCGGUCGAAACCAUCGGUCUUGUACCCCUUGCAUCUGUCCUCCGCAGGAACGGUUCAGUUGAUCGAGUCCUUGGUGCAGUGUCCCGAUUAUCACCAUCUUACUACACAUUUCCUUUCGGUUGAACAGAAGUUCUGAGAGUUUCCAGGACUUCAUCGCCGUUACAUGUACACGCUUGACAUACCCCGCGAGCGCUGAUUGUGUCCCCGCCCACAUAUCGUACACGAGUUGUGACUACCGCGUGGCCCAACUGAUAUCCUCCGCGUGCACCCCGGCUGUAAGGUGAAGGUCGCUGUCGUGCCUGUACUGGCGACCCUCCUCGGGGACAGUCUUUGUGAUCUGGUGCGUGACACACCGCAUACAUUCGGCACCUGAGGACCUCCCUUCUGCCACAGUUUAUUCCAGCCUCCACCGAUACGGAGAUUAGUUCAGUCUUCAGAGCAUUCCUCAUUAGAUCAAUCAGGUCAGGUCAGCUCCUGGAAACCUUAUCAAUCGCGUUUCAACCACCAGACUACCAUUGUUUCUCCUCUUUGCCCUGAUUAGCAACUCUGCCCAAAUAUACACACACAAUGUGGAUGAGGCAAACUUUUACCUCCUGGCACCGCGCAUCGCGUACUGACACUAUCAUGCAACUCUCGUGUCUCCGACUUCCUUCAUGUCUACCACGUUUCGAAACCAUUGAAGCUCCAGCGACAGAGAAGACAACCCAUCAUACUGAACGCGGCUGAGUAGCCGACAAGCCACGGAGUUCUCAAUCAUUUUACAAGACGCAUUCCGUUCUUUCUGUGACUCUGCAUCAGUGGUACAACAUCGUCGACGAUGAGUACUGAUCAGUCACAGAAGACAGGAGGUCAACUACACGAGCAUGAUUUCUGCACGAGGUCGGUGCCGUUGUUUGCACACCUCUGUGGCGAGCGGACAACUGCUGCAGUGGCGGCUCUCGGAAGUAGGGAACGGAUGGAAAGCUCGCAUCAAAGCGUAAGAAUAAUCCCAAGUGAUUAUACUCGUUCUGAUUAGUGAAAAUGAUCGCCCUGAUUACUGAGAAUGGUCGUCCUGAUUAGUUGGAUGCACUCAAUAAUGGGGGGGGGGGGGUGUUUGACGAGUGAUUUUGGUGGAAUUCGCUAGCAGAAAGUGGGAAAGUGGAUAAUAUACACUACUUUGCUGGUUUUGGUCAAAAAGUGGUUUGCAUAAAGUUUGCAAAAUGAUUGGAAAAAUCAAUAGCGAUUUUCCACUGAUGCCCAUUCCUUUCUUGUUGCUUCUCUUGCCCUGAUUCUAUUACACCACCGUUCGACGCUAGGGGUAGUUGGCACUUCCUACCCUUGUAUUUUGAAAUUUACAAGUAUCAGUUAUUUUCUCCGUUUA